GCCUCCGUAGCUCAGUAGGACAGAGCAGCGGACUUCUAAUCCGACGGUCGCAGGUUCGAAUCCUGCCGGAGGCGCCA
Molecule: transfer RNA, 77 nt
Filed under: Iamia majanohamensis
Lineage: Bacteria; Bacillati; Actinomycetota; Acidimicrobiia; Acidimicrobiales; Iamiaceae
Also listed under: 1 other name
Description: tRNA-Arg
Rfam family: tRNA
About the family: Transfer RNA (tRNA) molecules are approximately 80 nucleotides in length. Their secondary structure includes four short double-helical elements and three loops (D, anti-codon, and T loops). Further hydrogen bonds mediate the characteristic L-shaped molecular structure. tRNAs have two regions of fundamental functional importance: the anti-codon, which is responsible for specific mRNA codon recognition, and the 3' end, to which the tRNAs corresponding amino acid is attached (by aminoacyl-tRNA synthetases). tRNAs cope with the degeneracy of the genetic code in two manners: having more than one tRNA (with a specific anti-codon) for a particular amino acid; and 'wobble' base-pairing, i.e. permitting non-standard base-pairing at the 3rd anti-codon position.
Source: RNAcentral